Molecule: ribosomal RNA, 491 nt
Filed under: uncultured bacterium
Lineage: Bacteria
Description: partial 16S ribosomal RNA
Rfam family: Bacterial small subunit ribosomal RNA
Source: RNAcentral
GACGAACGCUGGCGGCGUGCUUAACACAUGCAAGUCGAACGGUGAAGCGCCUUCCUUUUUGGUGGGUGUGGAUGAGUGGCGAACGGGUGAGUAACACGUGAGUAACCUGCCCCCUUCUUCUGGAAACCGCAUGAAAGUGUGGCUAAUACGGGAUAUUCUGGGUCUGUCGCAUGAUGGGUCUGGGAAAGAUAUUGUUUCGGUGGGGGAUGGGCUCGCGGCCUAUCAGCUUGUUGGUGGGGUGAUGGCCUACCAAGGCGGUGACGGGUAGCCGGCCUGAGAGGGUGGACGGUCACACUGGGACUGAGACACGGCUCAGACUCCUACGGGAGGCAGCAGUGGGGAAUAUUGCACAAUGGGCGCAAGCCUGAUGCAGCGACGCCGCGUGAGGGAUGGAGGCCUUCGGGUUGUGAACCUCUUUCGCCAGUGAAGCAGGCCUGCCUCGUUUGUGGUGGGUUGACGGUAGCUGGAUAAGAAGCGCCGGCUAACUACGU